GCCUGGGUGGCUCAGUGGUUGAGCGUCUGCCUUUGGCUCAGGGCGUGAUCCCAGGGUCAUGGGAUCGAGUCCCAUAUCAGGCU
This 83-nucleotide transfer RNA is filed under the name Canis lupus familiaris (dog). It matches the Rfam family "tRNA". From Rfam's summary of the family: Transfer RNA (tRNA) molecules are approximately 80 nucleotides in length. Their secondary structure includes four short double-helical elements and three loops (D, anti-codon, and T loops). Further hydrogen bonds mediate the characteristic L-shaped molecular structure. tRNAs have two regions of fundamental functional importance: the anti-codon, which is responsible for specific mRNA codon recognition, and the 3' end, to which the tRNAs corresponding amino acid is attached (by aminoacyl-tRNA synthetases). tRNAs cope with the degeneracy of the genetic code in two manners: having more than one tRNA (with a specific anti-codon) for a particular amino acid; and 'wobble' base-pairing, i.e. permitting non-standard base-pairing at the 3rd anti-codon position. RNAcentral also lists the same sequence under 1 other name. Lineage: Eukaryota; Metazoa; Chordata; Mammalia; Carnivora; Canidae. The record is from Rfam by way of RNAcentral.